AUUGAACGCUGGCGGCAUGCCUUACACAUGCAAGUCGAACGGCAGCACGGGAGCAUCCUGGUGGCGAGUGGCGAACGGGUGAGUAAUAUAUCGGAACGUGCCAGUCGUGGGGAUAACGUAGCGAAAGCUACGCUAAUACCGCAUACGAUCUAUGGAUGAAAGCGGGGGAUCGCAAGACCUCGCGCGAUUGGAGCGGCCGAUAUCAGAUUAGGUAGUUGGUGAGGUAAAGGCUCACCAAGCCGACGAUCUGUAGCUGGUCUGAGAGGACGACCAGCACACUGGGACUGAGACACGGCCCAGACUCCUAC
This 308-nucleotide ribosomal RNA is filed under the name uncultured bacterium. RNAcentral describes it as "bacterial SSU rRNA". It matches the Rfam family "Bacterial small subunit ribosomal RNA", at positions 30 to 342 of the family's 1533-position model. The record is from RNAcentral.